RNAcentral lists this ribosomal RNA (1356 nucleotides) under Megaspilidae sp. SJW-2015. RNAcentral's name for it is "16S ribosomal RNA". RNAcentral also lists the same sequence under 1 other name. The record is from RNAcentral. Lineage: Eukaryota; Metazoa; Arthropoda; Insecta; Hymenoptera; Megaspilidae.
UAGUUAAAUUAAUUGAUUUAUUAUUAGUAAAUAUUAAUUUUUUGAAAAAAAUAAUUUAAAUAAUUUAGGUUAGUAUAUUUUUUAAAAAUAAUUUUUUUUAAUUUUAGUGAAAUUGUGAAAGUUGGCAAUCUUAAUGUAAAAAAAAUUUUAGUUUAAUGUUCCUUUUGUAUCAGGAAUUUUUAAUUAAAUAACAAGUUUAUGUAAUUUUCGAAAUAAUAAGAAUUAGUUAAUUAUUUAAUAUAAAGUUUUAUUUUUAUUUAAAAUAGUUAGCUGUAAGUGAAAUAUUAUUAGAUUAUUAUGAUUUCUAAUUUUUUAAUAAAAUAAUUUAAUUAAUUUAAAUAGAAUAAAAAAAUUUUUGUUAUAUUUAUAAAAUUUUAUAUAAAUUGUAAAUAUUAAUUUAUGGUUAAAGUUUAUGAGUUAUUUAUAUUUAAAUAAUAAUUUAGGGGAUAAUCUUUAAAUUUAAUUUAUUAAUUUAAUUUAUUUUAAGGCAAUAUCUUAAUAAUAUUAAAAAUUUAUAUUUGUUAAAAAUUUUAAUAAUUUAGAUUUUUUAUAAAAAUGAUUAAAUAAUUUAUUUAUAUAAGUUUAAUUAAAAUAAUUUUUAAAUUAUUUAAUGAUAUUUUAAAAAUUAUAAUAAUAAAAAUUAAUUUUAGUGAAAUAAGUAAAAAUUUUUUCAUUUAAAUUUCAUAAAUAUUUAAUAAAUUUGCUAUUUUUUUGGUUAAUAAUUUAAAAAUCAGGUUUGCUCUAUGAAAAUAUUCAAAUGGCUGCAGUAUUUUAACUGUGCUAAGGUAGCAUAAUAAUGAGUUUAUUGAUUGUAAACUGAAAUGAAUGAUUAAAUAAAAUAAAAACUUUUUUAAUUUGAAUUAUUCAAUUUAAUAAAUAAAGUAAAAAUGCUUAUAAAUAAUUAUAAGACGACAAGACACUAUAAAAUUUUAUAAAUUACUUAAAUAAUAAUUGAUUAAAUUAAAUUUUUUUUAUUUUGUUUAUUCAAUUGGGGUGAUUUUAUUGUUUAAUAAAUUAAUAAAUUUUCAAGACAUUCGAUAAUGAUUUAAUGAUCCAAGUAUUUUUGAUUAAUUGAUUAAUUUAAUUCACGGAUAACAGCGAAAUGAUUUAUUUUAGUUCUUAUAAAUUAAAUUAUUGGCGACCUCGAUGUUGAAUUAAGAUUAAUUUUAAAUCCUUUUUGAUCAAUAUUUGCAAAAUUUUUUGCGUAUUGGCCAGGAAAUAAAUGGAAAUCCUUGAUUUAUUCUUUUUCGAAUUCGGCUCAAAAUUCUGAGCCCUCUUCAGAUAAAUUUUAAUUCUAAAAUUAAUAAUACAAAGGUUAUUAUAAUACAUUUUAAAUUUAAUUAUUGAUUUUAAGUU